RNAcentral lists this ribosomal RNA (1426 nucleotides) under Klebsiella sp. UIWRF0501. RNAcentral's name for it is "bacterial SSU rRNA". It matches the Rfam family "Bacterial small subunit ribosomal RNA". The record is from RNAcentral. Lineage: Bacteria; Pseudomonadati; Pseudomonadota; Gammaproteobacteria; Enterobacterales; Enterobacteriaceae.
UCAGAUUGAACGCUGGCGGCAGGCCUAACACAUGCAAGUCGAGCGGUAGCACAGAGAGCUUGCUCUCGGGUGACGAGCGGCGGACGGGUGAGUAAUGUCUGGGAAACUGCCUGAUGGAGGGGGAUAACUACUGGAAACGGUAGCUAAUACCGCAUAAUGUCGCAAGACCAAAGUGGGGGACCUUCGGGCCUCAUGCCAUCAGAUGUGCCCAGAUGGGAUUAGCUAGUAGGUGGGGUAACGGCUCACCUAGGCGACGAUCCCUAGCUGGUCUGAGAGGAUGACCAGCCACACUGGAACUGAGACACGGUCCAGACUCCUACGGGAGGCAGCAGUGGGGAAUAUUGCACAAUGGGCGCAAGCCUGAUGCAGCCAUGCCGCGUGUGUGAAGAAGGCCUUCGGGUUGUAAAGCACUUUCAGCGGGGAGGAAGGCGGUGAGGUUAAUAACCUCACCGAUUGACGUUACCCGCAGAAGAAGCACCGGCUAACUCCGUGCCAGCAGCCGCGGUAAUACGGAGGGUGCAAGCGUUAAUCGGAAUUACUGGGCGUAAAGCGCACGCAGGCGGUCUGUCAAGUCGGAUGUGAAAUUCCCCGGGCUCAACCUGGGAACUGCAUUCGAAACUGGCAGGCUAGAGUCUUGUAGAGGGGGGUAGAAUUCCAGGUGUAGCGGUGAAAUGCGUAGAGAUCUGGAGGAAUACCGGUGGCGAAGGCGGCCCCCUGGACAAAGACUGACGCUCAGGUGCGAAAGCGUGGGGAGCAAACAGGAUUAGAUACCCUGGUAGUCCACGCCGUAAACGAUGUCGAUUUGGAGGUUGUGCCCUUGAGGCGUGGCUUCCGGAGCUAACGCGUUAAAUCGACCGCCUGGGGAGUACGGCCGCAAGGUUAAAACUCAAAUGAAUUGACGGGGGCCCGCACAAGCGGUGGAGCAUGUGGUUUAAUUCGAUGCAACGCGAAGAACCUUACCUGGUCUUGACAUCCACAGAACUUUCCAGAGAUGGAUUGGUGCCUUCGGGAACUGUGAGACAGGUGCUGCAUGGCUGUCGUCAGCUCGUGUUGUGAAAUGUUGGGUUAAGUCCCGCAACGAGCGCAACCCUUAUCCUUUGUUGCCAGCGGUUAGGCCGGGAACUCAAAGGAGACUGCCAGUGAUAAACUGGAGGAAGGUGGGGAUGACGUCAAGUCAUCAUGGCCCUUACGACCAGGGCUACACACGUGCUACAAUGGCAUAUACAAAGAGAAGCGACCUCGCGAGAGCAAGCGGACCUCAUAAAGUAUGUCGUAGUCCGGAUUGGAGUCUGCAACUCGACUCCAUGAAGUCGGAAUCGCUAGUAAUCGUAGAUCAGAAUGCUACGGUGAAUACGUUCCCGGGCCUUGUACACACCCGCCACGUGCACACCAUGGGAGUGGGUUGCAAAAGAAGUAGGUAUGUUAA